UUAAGUUCAGCGGGUAUCCCUACCUGAUCCGAGGUCAAAUUCAUGGGGGUAGCUUCUGGGAGCCGAUCCGCCGGUCUCGAGUUCGCGUUUCUGCUGCGCUCGAAGCCAACGUGCCGGCCGCCAAUUGUUUUAAGGCGAGUCUACGCGCAAGGCGAGACAAACACCCAACACCAAGCAGAGCUUGAAGGUACAAAUGACGC
This 200-nucleotide unclassified non-coding RNA is filed under the name Preussia sp. (in: ascomycete fungi). RNAcentral describes it as "Preussia sp. (in: Fungi) partial internal transcribed spacer 2". The record is from RNAcentral. Lineage: Eukaryota; Fungi; Ascomycota; Dothideomycetes; Pleosporales; Sporormiaceae.